RNAcentral lists this ribosomal RNA (468 nucleotides) under uncultured bacterium. RNAcentral describes it as "partial 16S ribosomal RNA". It matches the Rfam family "Bacterial small subunit ribosomal RNA", at positions 28 to 507 of the family's 1533-position model. The record is from RNAcentral.
GACGAACGCUGGCGGCGUGCUUAACACAUGCAAGUCGAACGGAAAGGCCCUGCUUUUGUGGGGUGCUCGAGUGGCGAACGGGUGAGUAACACGUGAGUAACCUGCCCUUGACUUUGGGAUAACUUCAGGAAACUGGGGCUAAUACCGGGUAGGAGCUCCUGCUGCAUGGUGGGGGUUGGAAAGUUUCGGCGGUUGGGGAUGGACUCGCGGCUUAUCAGCUUGUUGGUGGGGUAGUGGCUUACCAAGGCUUUGACGGGUAGCCGGCCUGAGAGGGUGACCGGCCACAUUGGGACUGAGAUGCGGCCCAGACUCCUACGGGAGGCAGCAGUGGGGAAUAUUGCACAAUGGGCGGAAGCCUGAUGCAGCAACGCCGCGUGCGGGAUGACGGCCUUCGGGUUGUAACCCGCUUUCGCCUGUGACGAAGCGUGAGUGACGGUAAUGGGUAAAGAAGCACCGGCUAACUACGUG